UGACCAGACUCCUACGGGAGGCAGCAGUGGGGGAUAUUGCACAAUGGGGGAAACCCUGAUGCAGCGACGCCGCGUGAGUGAAGAAGUAUUUCGGUAUGUAAAGCUCUAUCAGCAGGGACGAAAAUGACGGUACCUGAGUAAGAAGCCCCGGCUAACUACGUGCCAGCAGCCGCGGUAAUACGUAGGGGGCAAGCGUUAUCCGGAUUUACUGGGGGUAAAGGGAGCGUAGACGGUUAUGCAAGUCUGGAGUGAAAAGCGGGGGCUCAACCCCCGGACUGCUCUGGAAACUGUAGAACUAAAGUGCAGGAGGGGUAAGUGGAAUUCCUAGUGUAGCGGUGAAAUGCGUAGAUAUUAGGAGGAACACCAGUGGCGAAGGCGGCUUACUGGACUGUAACUGACGUUGAGGCUCGAAAGCGUGGGGAGCAAACAGGAUUAGAUACCCGCGUACC
This 449-nucleotide ribosomal RNA is filed under the name uncultured bacterium. RNAcentral describes it as "bacterial SSU rRNA". It matches the Rfam family "Bacterial small subunit ribosomal RNA", at positions 328 to 794 of the family's 1533-position model. The record is from RNAcentral.